AGAGUUUGAUCCUGGCUCAAGAUGAACGCUUUCGGCGUGCUUAACACAUGCAAGUCGAACGGGAAAUAUUUCAUUGACACUUCGGUGGAUUUGAUCUAUUUCUAGUGGCGGACGGGUGAGUAACGCGUGGGUAACCUGCCUUAUACAGGGGGAUAACAGUCAGAAAUGGCUGCUAAUACCGCAUAAGCGCACAGAGCUGCAUGGCUCAGUGUGAAAAACUCCGGUGGUAUAAGAUGGACCCGCGUUGGAUUAGCUUGUUGGUGGGGUAACGGCUCACCAAGGCGACGAUCCAUAGCCGGCCUGAGAGGGUGAACGGCCACAUUGGGACUGAGACACGGCCCAGACUCCUACGGGAGGCAGCAGUGGGGAAUAUUGCACAAUGGGGGGAACCCUGAUGCAGCGACGCCGCGUGAAGGAAGAAGUAUCUCGGUAUGUAAACUUCUAUCAGCAGGGAAGAUAGUGACGGUACCUGACUAAGAAGCCCCGGCUAACUACGUGCCAGCAGCCGCGGUAAUACGUAGGGGGCAAGCGUUAUCCGGAUUUACUGGGUGUAAAGGGAGCGUAGACGGUGUGGCAAGUCUGAUGUGAAAGGCAUGGGCUCAACCUGUGGACUGCAUUGGAAACUGUCAUACUUGAGUGCCGGAGGGGUAAGCGGAAUUCCUAGUGUAGCGGUGAAAUGCGUAGAUAUUAGGAGGAACACCAGUGGCGAAGGCGGCUUACUGGACGGUAACUGACGUUGAGGCUCGAAAGCGUGGGGAGCAAACAAGAUUAGAUUCCCUGGUAGUCCUCGCCGUACUCGACCUCAAAAGGGUGUCGGGGAGCAGAGCUCUUCGGUGCCGUCGCAAACGCAGUAAGUAUUCCACCUGGGGAGUACGUUCGCAAGAAUGAAAUUCAAAGGAAUUGACGGGGACCCGCACAAGCGGUGGAGCAUGUGGUUUAAUUCGAAGCAACGCGAAGAACCUUACCAAGUCCUGACAUCCCCCUGACCGGAACUUAACCGUUCCUUUCCUUCGGGACAGGGGAGACAGGUGGUGCAUGGUUGUCGUCAGCUCGUGUCGUGAGAUGUUGGGUUAAGUCCCGCAACGAGCGCAACCCCUAUCCUCAGUAGCCAGCAUUUAAGGUGGGCACUCUGGGGAGACUGCCAGGGAUAACCUGGAGGAAGGCGGGGAUGACGUCAAAUCAUCAUGCCCCUUAUGAUUUGGGCUACACACGUGCUACAAUGGCGUAAACAAAGGGAAGCGAGAGGGUGACCUGGAGCAAAUCCCAAAAAUAACGUCCCAGUUCGGACUGCAGUCUGCAACUCGACUGCACGAAGCUGGAAUCGCUAGUAAUCGCGGAUCAGAAUGCCGCGGUGAAUACGUUCCCGGGUCUUGCAC
This 1376-nucleotide ribosomal RNA is filed under the name uncultured bacterium. Its description in RNAcentral is "16S ribosomal RNA". It matches the Rfam family "Bacterial small subunit ribosomal RNA", at positions 8 to 1386 of the family's 1533-position model. The record is from RNAcentral.